Molecule: ribosomal RNA, 253 nt
Filed under: uncultured bacterium
Lineage: Bacteria
Description: partial 16S ribosomal RNA
Rfam family: Bacterial small subunit ribosomal RNA
Source: RNAcentral
GACGUAGGGCGCGAGCGUUGUCCGGAUUUAUUGGGCGUAAAGAGCUCGUAGGCGGCUUGUCGCGUCGACUGUGAAAUCCCGAGGCUCAACUUCGGGCUUGCAGUCGAUACGGGCAGGCUAGAGUUCGGUAGGGGAGACUGGAAUUCCUGGUGUAGCGGUGGAAUGCGCAGAUAUCAGGAGGAACACCGGUGGCGAAGGCGGGUCUCUGGGCAGUAACUGACGCUGAGGAGCGAAAGCGUGGGGAGCGAACAGG